GUUUGCGUGUUUUUUUUUUUUUGUUUUUUUAGUGUUUGUUUUGGUGAAAUUCCCAUAUUAAUAUAUUUAUCCUUCUUUCCUUUUUUUCUUUUUUGUUUCGCUGUAGCCGAAAGACAAGUUACUUCCCGUUUGCUACGGUGCAGGACUCGAAGUGGGAAGCACCAACCAAUCUCCAGAUUACACUCCACGUGCCUGUUGCGACGAUGCCAAAUUUGCGGUGAUUGUGAACAAAUGGUUUGCCGGAAUGACAAUCAGAUGCGUAGCUAGGUAACAGCAACUGAAACAAUUAACAAUUAAAUAAUAACACUAAUCCUAAAAUAACAACAAUAAUAAUAAUAAUAACAAUAAAUAAUAUCAAUAAUAACAAUAAUAAAAAGAACAAUAAUAAUUAUAUAUUAAAUGAUGGCAAUGAUGAUGAUGAUGACCUUGAUGAUGAGAAAGAGGCUGGUGGUAAAGAUAAUACAAUUAAUGACGAUAACGGUAAUGUUAUCAACGAUAAAUAUGAGAAUUAUAUCACCGAUAACAUUACUCUUCCGGUAAGCAAAAUAUGAUGAUAAACAUAUAAAAUGGCAUACAAAAAAGAAAUUGUAAGAAAAAAAGAAAAGAAGAAAAUAUAUAAUGAAAUAACUAAUAUACAAUAAAAAUACAAUAAAAUAAAGUGUAUAAAUUUUUAAUAUAAAAAUCAAACAUUUCCGACCACUAGAGUUCAAACGGUUCGUAAUUGAAACAGUGUCCGUAAUUCUAACGGCCCCGUACCUGAAAAUCGAACGGUCCACAUAUCUACCUGAAGUGGUACUCGUCAGGGGAAUCUCCAAAUUAUUUUCUAUUCUAUAAAAUAUAUAUAGAGAGAGAGAGAGAAUGAAAAAAAAAAUGUUUUCCAGUCGGUUUCUGCAAAAAAAAAGAGAGAAAAAAAGCGAGGUAUUAAGAGACCGAAAGGCAUCAAUGAUCCAAGGCAGAGCUCGAACUUAAGACGGAGAUUUCAUUACCUCGAAUGAACAGUUGACGCAUAGCAACUUCCCACACAGCCACAAUGUGUUGCUGAUGUUGGGUGGGAGGAGAGAGAGAGAGAGAGAGCGUGUCAUGGCAACAGCGAUGCGCGACAUUGGUACGACUUUCAUCAUAACAACAACAACAACAACAACAACAGCAGCAGCAGCAGCAGCAGCAGAAGCGACAUCAGCAGCAGCAACAGCAGCAGCAAUAGUGACAGUAUCAUCUACGAAACAAGAAAUACUAUCUGCAAAUAUUAUUGGUACACAUUACCUAGAAUUUUAUACAAUGAAUUAUGCAUAAACAAAUAUACAUGUGUGUGUGCGUGACUCUCUGUGUGUGUGUGUGUGUGUGUGUGUGUGUGUGUAUGAGUGACCCUGUGUGUGUGUGUGUAAUAGAAAUAGAUAUUUGUAUGAUUAGGUGUGUAUAUAUAUACAUGUAUAUAUAUAUAUAUAUAUAUAUAUAGGUGUGCGUAUACAUAUAUAUAUACGAAUAUAUAUAUAUAGACACAUAUUUAUGUACACACAUAUAUAUACAAAUACGUAC
RNAcentral lists this long non-coding RNA (1536 nucleotides) under Octopus vulgaris (common octopus). The record is from RNAcentral. Lineage: Eukaryota; Metazoa; Mollusca; Cephalopoda; Octopoda; Octopodidae.